UUUAGCAUGGAAUAAUAGAAUAGGACGCGCGUUCCCAUUUUGUUGGUUUAUGAGAUCGCCGUAAUGAUUAAUAGGGAUAGUUGGGGGCAUUUGUAUUCCGUCGUCAGAGGUGAAAUUCUUGGAUUGCCGGAAGACAAACUACUGCGAAAGCAUUUGCCAAGGAUGUUUUCAUUGAUCAAGAACGAAGGAAGGGGGAUCGAAAACGAUCAGAUACCGUUGUAGUCUCUUCUGUAAACUAUGCCAAUUGGGGAUUAGUCGAGGAUUUUUAAUGACUCGAUUAGCACCCGAAGAGAAAUCUUUAAAUGAGGUUCGGGGGGGAGUAUGGUCGCAAGGCUGAAACUUAAAGGAAUUGACGGAAGGGCACCACCAGGUGUGGAGCCUGCGGCUUAAUUUGACUCAACACGGGGAAACUCACCAGGUCCAGACACAACGAGGAUUGACAGAUUGAUAGCUCUUUCUUGAUUUUGUGGGUGGUGGUGCAUGGCCGUUCUUAGUUGGUGGAGUGAUUUGUCUGGUUAAUUCCGAUAACGAACGAGACCUUAACCUGCUAAAUAGACCUGCCGACUUUGGUUGGCAGCUGUCUUCUUAGAGGGACUGUCAGCGUUUAGCUGACGGAGGUUUGAGGCAAUAACAGGCCUGUGAUGCCCUUAGAUGUUCUGGGCCGCACGCGCGCUACACUGACAGAGCCAGCGAGUUCCAUCCUUAGCCGGAAGGCUUGGGUAAUCUUGGGAAACUCUGUCGUGAUGGGGAUAGAGCAUUGCAAUAAGGGCGAAUUCCAGCACACUGGCGGCCGUUACUAGUGGAUGCGAGCUACGACCAGACACACAAGCAGGG
Molecule: ribosomal RNA, 834 nt
Filed under: uncultured fungus
Lineage: Eukaryota; Fungi
Description: SSU rRNA
Rfam family: Eukaryotic small subunit ribosomal RNA
Source: RNAcentral